UCAACCCAAGACUUGGGUAUAAAAAUAACCCAAGAUUUUUUUUAGAGUUGUGUGCAUUAAAAUAUGACUUUCGUAAUGGACAUUAGUAAAUAUUUUUUAUUUAAACACAGCUUAUGUAAGCAUACCAUUUUUUUUAGAAGUUAUAUUUGUAUGACCCUAUUUUAUUGAUACUUUCUACAUCCUGAAAUAUUAGGCUUUUUAAUUAUAAGCGUUUUAACGGGCAAAAAAAUAGCACCAGCUUACACCAGUCUCCCCUAAAGAUGUUUUUCUCUUCCUCUAGAAUUCCUUUCUGAAAUGUACAUUGUUUGGAGAACGCCAGUCAUUCUCUCAGUUGUCAUCAUCAUCAUCACCAUCAAUGGUCAUUACGUGCGCCUAUUCCCUCCUUCCAUGUUCCCCUUCUGUCUGGGUCCACAGAGCCUACACAUGACAGAUUGCAAGGCCGCGACGAGUAGAAGAUGAAGUUAAAUUGUAAACGAUGCCUUUCUCAGCUAUGUUGAUUGAUGUUGUUGUGAUGACAUGGAUGAAUUACUUUUAGAGGAGAUGUAGCCAAAGAUCUCAAUUGUAAUGCUAUUACAUUAUCUUUUAAUUCUUAAGGGGUAUUUUGAAAUUUUGCUUGGUGGAGUGCAGAAUUAUCCUGUGCAUGUUGUAUCGAUUAGUGUCAACAGGAUUUAAGCCAUUGAGGAUAUGUGUAAUUUAUCCCAACCCAUUUGAUUUUAUCAUUAAACCAAAUCCCACACUA
This is a long non-coding RNA of Megalobrama amblycephala (Wuchang bream), 739 nucleotides long. RefSeq lists it as uncharacterized. The record is from RefSeq and is a predicted model, not a curated record. NCBI's taxonomy places the organism in Eukaryota, Metazoa, Chordata, Actinopteri, Cypriniformes, Xenocyprididae. The transcript is spliced from 2 exons.